RNAcentral lists this ribosomal RNA (189 nucleotides) under Saccharopolyspora shandongensis. RNAcentral's name for it is "16S rRNA. Bacterial SSU". It matches the Rfam family "Bacterial small subunit ribosomal RNA", at positions 1 to 188 of the family's 1533-position model. The record is from RNAcentral. Lineage: Bacteria; Bacillati; Actinomycetota; Actinomycetes; Pseudonocardiales; Pseudonocardiaceae.
CAUUGUUGGAGAGUUUGAUCCUGGCUCAGGACGAACGCUGGCGGCGUGCUUAACACAUGCAAGUCGAACGCUGAAGCACUUUCGGGUGUGGAUGAGUGGCGAACGGGUGAGUAACACGUGGGUAAUCUGCCCUGCACUCUGGGAUAAGCCUUGGAAACGGGGUCUAAUACCGGAUAUGACACUGGAUCG